RNAcentral lists this transfer RNA (71 nucleotides) under Delitschia confertaspora ATCC 74209. It matches the Rfam family "tRNA". From Rfam's summary of the family: Transfer RNA (tRNA) molecules are approximately 80 nucleotides in length. Their secondary structure includes four short double-helical elements and three loops (D, anti-codon, and T loops). Lineage: Eukaryota; Fungi; Ascomycota; Dothideomycetes; Pleosporales; Delitschiaceae. The record is from Rfam by way of RNAcentral.
GCAUCUUUGGUCCAGCGGUAGGAUAAUUGCCUUCCAAGCAAUUGGCUCGGGUUCGACUCCCGGAAGAUGCA